Molecule: small nucleolar RNA, 103 nt
Organism: Macaca fascicularis (crab-eating macaque)
Lineage: Eukaryota; Metazoa; Chordata; Mammalia; Primates; Cercopithecidae
Source: Ensembl
AUCCUACUGUAGCUCAUGAGCAUGAUGCCUGGGUGUUCACACGCAUCUGUGAGAUGUGGCACCUUGAACCUUGUUACCAUGUCAGCACAUCACCCAUCUGACA